UUGCUUCAGCAGCAAAUAUACUAAAAUUGGAACGAUAGAGAGAAGAUUAGAAUGGCCCCUGUGACAGAAUGACAUGCAAAUUCAUAAAGUGUUCUAUAUUUUC
This is a small nuclear RNA of Phyllostomus hastatus (greater spear-nosed bat), 103 nucleotides long. The record is from RefSeq and is a predicted model, not a curated record. Lineage: Eukaryota; Metazoa; Chordata; Mammalia; Chiroptera; Phyllostomidae.